Non-coding RNA from Trichonephila inaurata madagascariensis, 103 nucleotides. The record is from the annotation of a GenBank genome assembly. NCBI's taxonomy places the organism in Eukaryota, Metazoa, Arthropoda, Arachnida, Araneae, Nephilidae.
UGCCAUCCUGAAAACAUCGGUUCUCGUCCGAUCACCGAAGUUAAGUAUCAUCGGGCGAGGUCAGUUCUUGAGAGGACGACCACCUGGGAGCCCCAAGUGCGGU